CAAAUUAGUUCAGACUUCCACCCGGUCUGCAUUUGUAUUACAUAACUGUAAUUGUUACUGUACUACUUUGUAUAUUGUCGUAAUCUGCACUGCGGCACUUGUGUGAAGCACUUUGCACUGUGGUCUUUUUAAAUGAGCUACAGAAAUAAAUUUUGACUGAUUGACUUUGAGUUACUCAGCUGAUUAUGAUAUUCAAUGCAAUUUAAUGACACCUGGCCAUAUCAGACAUAUUAAAAAAAAGUGAGUACAUCUGAAAUGUCAGUUGUGUAAAGGUUUAAUACCCACAAAUGCAGCAAGUACUGUGGGACAACGUAAAAGGCAGGAAGUCAAAAAGCAAAGUAGGGUUACAGCGGGCAGUUUGGAUUAUUAUUUUGUGUUUUUUGUUCAUUUUUUGAUAAUGUUAUUUAUUUACAACCAGUCUGUUAUAGUAGCAAUAUUUUUAUUUUUUUAAAUACUACAGUACUAGAGUGUUGUGGGUGAUAUAUUGAAAAUUUCCAGGCAUCAGUCCAACAUCUGGUGAUUGCUGCUAAAUUUUAGAUUUAAUGUGUGCAUGAAAGUGGGGAACUGGGGGUGUACACACCCACUCCCCACCUUCAUGCACACACUCACUCAUUGCAAUACAUUAUAAUAAAUCACCCAUUUGAGAUCAUUUAAGUUCUGAAUUAGAAAGAAAACUAUUACAACUUGGGAGAUAUUUUGUACGUGUCUGCUUUAAAUGAACAAACACGCGGUUGUAGCACAUUACAUUAAGUGAUCAGGGAACACAACCUGUAAUUUGCAGUGAUGCUGGUAAAUAAAUAAUGAUCUUAGAAAUUUGUUAAACACUUAAAUAGAGACUUCCUCCCUGGUGCUUUGUUGCGUUAACCUUGCAAUGCCGCUGCAUUCACUAGUCAUACAUUUCAUCAUCGUCAGUGCACAACUAUCCACUCUAGCUCAACGCAAUAAAAUGACUGGAGUAGGUACCUUGUAGUGCUUUGCAGCAAUCACACUUCACAAACUAAUUGUUUAAUGAGUUGAAUUCCCAAAGAGUAAACUCCUAAGUUACCAAAAUCAAACAACAACAAAAAAAAAAAAAAAAAAAAAAAAAAAAAAAUCACACAAACGAUCACCUAACAGUCCUAAAAUAGAAAAAGAAUAUCACCAAUGGACUUAUACAUCAUCAGAAAGCCUAUAUUUUUUCCCUAUUUGGCCAAUCUUAUACAGUACCAAAAUUUUUGAUUUGUCUUGAUGCAUGCUCAAUCAACCAAACAACCUCUGGUGAAGCGGAUGGCACAACACAGAAGAGCUACCUCGUCAGGCCAGGACUCUGCAGUUUAUUUACACCUACAGGCCAGUGGACACUCUUUCAAUGAUGAGGAUGUACACAUCCUGGACAGGGAGGAACGCUGGUUUGAGCGCAGAAUCAAGGAGGCCAUUUACGUGAAAAGGGAAAGACCAUCUCUGAAUCGAGGAGGGGGCCUAAGGGUACAUCUUUCGCCAUCUUACAAUGCUGUGAUUGCAGCCAUUCCCCAACUCUCUGUGAAUGGGACUCAUGG
Long non-coding RNA from Astatotilapia calliptera (eastern happy), 1535 nucleotides. The record is from Ensembl. NCBI's taxonomy places the organism in Eukaryota, Metazoa, Chordata, Actinopteri, Cichliformes, Cichlidae.